AGGAUAAACGCUGGCGGCGUGCCUAACACAUGCAAGUCGAACGUCCUACGCAAGUAGGGAGUGGCGGACGGGUGAGUAACACGUGGGCAAUCUACCUUUCGGUGAGGAAUACCGGCGAGAAAUCGCCGACAAUACCGCAUACGCUUCGCAAGAAGCAAAGUCGCAAGACGCCGGAGGAGGAGCCUGCGCCCGAUUAGCUCGUUGGUGGAGUAAUGGUCUACCAAGGCGACGAUCGGUAGCUGGUCUGAGAGGAUGAUCAGCCACAUUGGGACUGAGACACGGCCCAAACUCCUACGGGAGGCAGCAGUGGGGAAUAUUGGACAAUGGGCGCAAGCCUGAUCCAGCCAUGCCGCGUGAGUGAUGAAGGCCCUAGGGUUGUAAAGCUCUUUGUGCGGGAAGAUAAUGACGGUACCGCAAGAAUAAGCCCGGCUAACUUCGUGCCAGCAGCCGC
RNAcentral lists this ribosomal RNA (451 nucleotides) under uncultured bacterium. Its description in RNAcentral is "SSU rRNA". It matches the Rfam family "Bacterial small subunit ribosomal RNA", at positions 26 to 518 of the family's 1533-position model. The record is from RNAcentral.